GAUGAACGCUGGCGGCGUGCUUAACACAUGCAAGUCGAACGAAGAACUUUAUUUGAUUUCCUUCGGGACUGAUUAUUUUGUGACUGAGUGGCGGACGGGUGAGUAACGCGUGGGUAACCUGCCUUGUACAGGGGGAUAACAGUUGGAAACGGCUGCUAAUACCGCAUAAGCGCACGGCAUCGCAUGAUGCAGUGUGAAAAACUCCGGUGGUAUAAGAUGGACCCGCGUUGGAUUAGCUAGUUGGUGAGGUAACGGCCCACCAAGGCGACGAUCCAUAGCCGACCUGAGAGGGUGACCGGCCACAUUGGGACUGAGACACGGCCCAAACUCCUGCGGGAGGCAGCAGUGGGGAAUAUUGCACAAUGGGCGAAAGCCUGAUGCAGCGACGCCGCGUGGACGAAGAAGUAUUUCGGUAUGUAAAGCUCUAUCAGCAAGGAAGAUAAUGACGGUACCUGACGAAGAAGCACCGGCUAAAUACGUG
RNAcentral lists this ribosomal RNA (481 nucleotides) under uncultured bacterium. Its description in RNAcentral is "partial 16S ribosomal RNA". It matches the Rfam family "Bacterial small subunit ribosomal RNA", at positions 28 to 507 of the family's 1533-position model. The record is from RNAcentral.